AACGAUGUGUUUGAGCGACAUUGUGAACCAAGAAAUAACUUCUGAAUUCGUCGCAGUUAAGAUGACCUCAAGUGGUUAUAACUAUAGUGUAUUAAGAGUUGUUAUGGGGGUGGGGAAAAGUCCCUCCUUCUACUUGGCCGGCCGCUCUUUGGGGCCGGGUGGAAUAGGUUCGUUGCUUGGGGUGAUCAAGAGAUGGAAGCUCUUGGAGAUGGACGUUUCGGGCUCUGGAGUCUGGUCCAGUCUUCAGGAGUUGGUACGUCUGAUGACUGCCACUUGACGAAAAUUAAUAGAAAAAACGGUUGCGAGGUUAUGUUCGAUGAUGUCAUGGAAGUGAUAUCCUUAGAUGUUCGAUCGAUUCUCGUUAUUCCAAGUGAACGAGGACGUCGGCUAUUUGUAUACAUGCACCGAUGAAACUCGAUUUGAACCACAAUUUAAACAGAAAUCUGGAGGAUAACUUGUGAAAUGGAAUGUUCGUUUUGGUUCUUUGAAUUCAAGUGAUUUUGGUUUUGAACGGUGUGCUCAGUGAUGUCACGUGUGAGGUGUGUUACAAAUCGAAAACGCAGCUUUUCGCACGACAAAGAAAUUUUCCAACAGAUCCAGACCGAAACCGGCGGACCGAUGAAGAAUAAGACCCUAGCGAGAAUAAUUCGAGGUGGGAAAACCCGAACGAAACCUCACGUAAG
Molecule: long non-coding RNA, 683 nt
Organism: Neodiprion fabricii
Lineage: Eukaryota; Metazoa; Arthropoda; Insecta; Hymenoptera; Diprionidae
Exons: 2
Source: RefSeq, a predicted model, not a curated record